CCUACGGGGGGCAGCAGUGAGGAAUAUUGGUCAAUGGCCGGAAGGCUGAACCAGCCAUGCCGCGUGAAGGUCAGUGCCCUAUGGGCGUUAAACUUCUUUUGUGCGGGAGCAAUCAUGGUCACGUGUGGCCAGACGAGAGUACCGUACGAAUAAGCAUCGGCUAACUCCGUGCCAGCCGCCGCGGUGAUACGGGGGAUGCGAGCGUUAUCCGGAGUUAUUGGGUUUAAAGGGUGCGUAGGCUGUGAGGUAAGUCAGCGGUGAAAUGCCCCCGCUCAACGGGGUGAAGUGCCAUUGAUACUGCCGUGCUGGAAUGCGGAUGCCGUGGGAGGAAUGUGUGGUGUAGCGGUGAAAUGCAUAGAUAUCACACAGAACACCGAUUGCGAAGGCAUCUCACGAAUCCGCGAUUGACGCUGAUGCACGAAAGCGUGGGUAUCAAACAGGAUUAGAUACCCCAGUAGUC
RNAcentral lists this ribosomal RNA (460 nucleotides) under uncultured bacterium. RNAcentral's name for it is "partial 16S ribosomal RNA". It matches the Rfam family "Bacterial small subunit ribosomal RNA", at positions 338 to 795 of the family's 1533-position model. The record is from RNAcentral.